UGGGGAGUAUUGCACAAUGGGCGCAAGCCUGAUGCAGCCAUGCCGCGUGUGUGAAGAAGGCCUUCGGGUUGUAAAGCACUUUCAGCGAGGAGGAAGGUGGUGAACUUAAUACGUUCAUCAAUUGACGUUACUCGCAGAAGAAGCACCGGCUAACUCCGUGCCAGCAGCCGCGGUAAUACGGAGGGUGCAAGCGUUAAUCGGAAUUACUGGGCGUAAAGCGCACGCAGGCGGUUUGUUAAGUCAGAUGUGAAAUCCCCGGGCUCAACCUGGGGACUGCAUUUGAAACUGGCAAGCUAGAGUCUCGUAGAGGGGGGUAGAAUUCCAGGUGUAGCGGUGAAAUGCGUAGAGAUCUGGAGGAAUACCGGUGGCGAAGGCGGCCCCCUGGACGAAGACUGACGCUCAGGUGCGAAAGCGUGGGGAGCAAACAGAUUAGAUACCCUGGUAGUCCACGCUGUAAACGAUGUCGAUUUUGGAGGUUGUGCCCUUGAGGCGUGGNUUCCGGAGCUAACG
This 510-nucleotide ribosomal RNA is filed under the name uncultured bacterium. RNAcentral's name for it is "partial 16S ribosomal RNA". It matches the Rfam family "Bacterial small subunit ribosomal RNA", at positions 355 to 857 of the family's 1533-position model. The record is from RNAcentral.